This 465-nucleotide ribosomal RNA is filed under the name uncultured bacterium. RNAcentral describes it as "partial 16S ribosomal RNA". It matches the Rfam family "Bacterial small subunit ribosomal RNA", at positions 338 to 795 of the family's 1533-position model. The record is from RNAcentral.
CCUACGGGAGGCAGCAGUGGGGAAUAUUGCGCAAUGGGCGAAAGCCUGACGCAGCGACGCCGCGUGAGGGAUGAAGGUCUUCGGAUCGUAAACCUCUGUCAGCAGGGAAGAACGGGCACUGUGCUAAUCACCAGUGAAUUGACGCCACCUGCAAAGGUACCACCGGCUAACUCCGUGCCAGCAGCCGCGGUAAUACGGAGGGUGAGAGCGUUAAUCGGAAUUACUGGGCGUAAAGCGGGCGUAGGCGGGAAUUGAAGUCAAGGGUGAAAUCCGCGAGCCGAACGUGAGAACUGCAUUUGAUACUGGAAAGCUGGAGUGUGAGAGAGGCUAGUGGAACGACAGGUGUAGGAGUGAAAUCCGUAGAUAUCUGGAGGAACAUCAGUGGCGAAGGCGACUAUCUGGCACAUAACUGACGCUGAGGAGCGAAAGCGUGGGUAGCAAACAGGAUUAGAUACCCGGGUAGUC